RNAcentral lists this ribosomal RNA (253 nucleotides) under uncultured Lachnospiraceae bacterium. RNAcentral's name for it is "partial 16S ribosomal RNA". It matches the Rfam family "Bacterial small subunit ribosomal RNA", at positions 524 to 776 of the family's 1533-position model. Lineage: Bacteria; Bacillati; Bacillota; Clostridia; Lachnospirales; Lachnospiraceae. The record is from RNAcentral.
UACGGAGGAUCCGAGCGUUAUCCGGAUUCAUUGGGUUUAAAGGGUGCGUAGGUUGUUUUAUAAGUUAGCGGUGAAAUACCGGGGCUCAACCCCGGGGCUGCAUUGGAAACUGGCAGGCUGGAGUGCCGGAGAGGCAGGCGGAAUUCCUAGUGUAGCGGUGAAAUGCGUAGAUAUUAGGAGGAACACCAGUGGCGAAGGCGGCCUGCUGGACGGUGACUGACGCUGAGGCUCGAAAGCGUGGGGAGCAAACAGG